RNAcentral lists this ribosomal RNA (497 nucleotides) under uncultured bacterium. RNAcentral's name for it is "partial 16S ribosomal RNA". It matches the Rfam family "Bacterial small subunit ribosomal RNA", at positions 28 to 507 of the family's 1533-position model. The record is from RNAcentral.
GAUGAACGCUGGCGGCGUGCCUAAUACAUGCAAGUCGAGCGAACAGACGAGGAGCUUGCUCCUCUGACGUUAGCGGCGGACGGGUGAGUAACACGUGGAUAACCUACCUAUAAGACUGGGAUAACUUCGGGAAACCGGAGCUAAUACCGGAUAAUAUAUUGAACCGCAUGGUUCAAUAGUGAAAGACGGUUUUGCUGUCACUUAUAGAUGGAUCCGCGCCGCAUUAGCUAGUUGGUAAGGUAACGGCUUACCAAGGCAACGAUGCGUAGCCGACCUGAGAGGGUGCUCGGCCACACUGGAACUGAGACACGGUCCAGACUCCUACGGGAGGCAGCAGUAGGGAAUCUUCCGCAAUGGGCGAAAGCCUGACGGAGCAACGCCGCGUGAGUGAUGAAGGUCUUCGGAUCGUAAAACUCUGCUAUUAGGGAAGAACAAAUGUGUAAGUAACUAUGCACGUCUUGACGGUACCUAAUCAGAAAGCCACGGCUAACUACGUG